Molecule: ribosomal RNA, 773 nt
Filed under: uncultured archaeon
Lineage: Archaea
Description: bacterial SSU rRNA
Rfam family: Archaeal small subunit ribosomal RNA
Source: RNAcentral
GACUGCUCAGUAACACGUGGAUAACCUACCCUUGGGACUGGCAUAACCCCGGGAAACUGGGGAUAAUACCAGAUAGAUCAGGGAUGCUGGAAUGCACCUUGAUCCAAAGCUCAGGCGCCCAAGGAUGGAUCUGCGACCUAUCAGGUUGUAGUGGGUGUAACGUACCUACUAGCCGACGACGGGUACGGGUUGUGAGAGCAAGAGCCCGGAGAUGGAUUCUGAGACACGAAUCCAGGCCCUACGGGGUGCAGCAGGCGCGAAACCUUUACAAUGUGCGAAAGCAUGAUAAGGGAACUCCGAGUGCCAGCAUCUAAUGCUGGCUGUCCUUGUGCCUAAAACGUACAAGAUAGCAAGGGCCGGGUAAGACCGGUGCCAGCCGCCGCGGUAACACCGGCGGCCCGAGUGGUAGCCACUAUUAUUGGGUCUAAAGGGUCCGUAGCCGGUUUGGUAAGUCCUCUGGAAAAUCUGGUUGCUCAACAAUCAGACUGCCAAGGGAUACUGUCGAACUUGAGACCGGGAGAGGUAAGAGGUACUUCAGGGGUAGGAGUGAAAUCUUGUAAUCCCUGGGGGACCAUCUGUGGCGAAGGCGUCUUACCAGAACGGGUCUGACGGUGAGGGACGAAAGCUGGGGGCGCGAACCGGAUUAGAUACCCGGGUAGUCCCAGCCGUAAACGAUGCUCGCUAUGUGUCAGGUACGGUGCGACCGUAUCUGGUGCCGUAGGGAAGCCGUGAAGCGAGCCACCUGGGAAGUACGGCCGCAAGGCUGAAACUUA